RNAcentral lists this ribosomal RNA (389 nucleotides) under uncultured bacterium. RNAcentral describes it as "bacterial SSU rRNA". It matches the Rfam family "Bacterial small subunit ribosomal RNA", at positions 28 to 417 of the family's 1533-position model. The record is from RNAcentral.
GACGAACGCUGGCGGCGUGCUUAACACAUGCAAGUCGAGCGGUAAGGCCCUUUCGGGGGUACACGAGAGGCGAACGGGUGAGUAACACGUGGGUGACCUGCCCUCAGCUCUGGGAUAAGCCUGGGAAACCGGGUCUAAUACUGGAUAUGACUCCAUGACGCAUGUUGUGGGGUGGAAAGCCUUGUGCGGCUGAGGAUGGGCCCGCGGCCUAUCAGCUUGUUGGUGGGGGGAUGGCCUACCAAGGCGACGACGGGUAGCCGGCCUGAGAGGGCGACCGGGCCACACUGGGACUGAGACACGGCCCAGACUCCUACGGGAGGCAGCAGUGGGGAAUCUUGCGCAAUGGGCGAAAGCCUGACGCAGCGACGCCGCGUGAGGGAUGACGGCCU